RNAcentral lists this long non-coding RNA (6522 nucleotides) under Homo sapiens (human). RNAcentral's name for it is "non-protein coding lnc-EMC1-1:1". The record is from RNAcentral. Lineage: Eukaryota; Metazoa; Chordata; Mammalia; Primates; Hominidae.
GGGGCAUUUCCCUUCCUCACUGAGCAGGUGAGGGCAGGUGGCUCAGCCAAGGCCGCAGAGCCAGGAUUGGAGAUCAGGACUUGUCAUGGGUCCUUGUGUCCCCCAGGGCACACAGGUGUGGUGCUGUAGGUGCUGAGGGGUCCUAAGGUGGCGGGUGUUUAACACCUGGUGAGGUUAAAUGCUAGGGUUUUUUCUUCGAAAUGGGGUCUCACUCUGUUGUUCAGGAUGGAGUGCAGGGGCUCGAUCACCACUCCCUGUAGCCUCUACCUCCCAGACUCAAGUGAUCUUCCUGCUUCAGCCUCCAGAGCAGCUGAGACUAGAGGCGCACAUCACUACGCCCGGCUAAUUUUUUUUUUUUUUUUUUGUAGAGACAGGAGGUCUCCCUACGUUAUCUUGGCUGACUUCUAACUUCCGGCAUCAAGCAAUCCUCCCUUCUUGGCCUCCCAAAGGGCUUGGAUUACAGGUGUGGCCAUCACGCCUGGCCAAAUGCAAGGAUUCUCGCCCACUGCCUCCCCUCUAGCCACCCAAGAACACGGAUGAGGGGCCCAGAAACAUGCAUGCAUUCUGAUGCUCAAAAAUGGCAUGCAUAGGGACGUGGUCAUCCUGGAUGGAGCAAUUGGAGAAACUGGCAGCAGCAAAGGGACCCUGGACUCGGCUGUCACAGAGGCCGCCGACCAAGCCUGGCACCUGACCAUCCCACUACCUCCUCCAGGUCUGGCUAGACCUGGCUCAGGUGCGGAGGGCACCACCUGCCACCCUUCAUUCUCUCCCCCUGGCCAGUUUUGGCCUUAAAUGGUUGUAGGCUGCUUUCCCCUCUCAGCCCGGUUUGCAGAUCCUCCCCUACACUCGUGCAGUCUUCCCAGUCAUCCUCACAAGGCGAGAGGGCCGGGCCUGAGCUCUCCUUCAGCACUUCCUGCUGAGGCUGGUGCUUGACCUGGCCUAGGCCUGGGUGAACAUGGUGAAUUCCUCUUCUGCCCGAAGCCUGCUUCCUGCUGUCCUUCCCAAGGGCGUGGUGAGAAGUGGGCGGGAGUAGGAAGUCUCCAAAGAACAGAGGCACUGAGAGGGUGUCAGAGGCACAAUGCCGUUGUGAAGGUCACCCCACACCGUGGGACCCAGCCUGACCUCCCAACAGCAGGGCUGGAGGUGGCCCUCUUCCAUGCAUGGCAGAAAAAAGAGGGCCACUGUACACCCUGAAGCUGAUUUACUCUCAUUCAGAACUGCUUUCAUGAAAUACAAAUAGAACAAUGUGGGCUGGAUGCGGUGGCUCACACCUAUAAUCCCAGCACUUUGGGAGGCCAAGGUGGGUAGAUCGCUUGAGCUCAGGAGUUUGAGACCAGCCUGGGCAACAUGGUGAAACCCCAUCUCUCCUUAAAAUUUUAAAACAGAAAAAUCAAAAACAAACAAAAGCAAAUAGAACAAGGUGGACAAAAAUCUACCAUUAGAGUCACCAAGGAUAAAACCUCCCAGGAUGCCGUGGACACUUUAGACGCUGGCUCUCAACUCUUGCAGUGAUGUCACUCUCAGCCCAAGGCUGUCUUCCUGGCAUCCAUCAGAUCCGCAGCCCUGGUUUGGAAGUGUGUGGAGGGCUAGGAAGGAUACCUAAUUUUCCUCAGCAAAUCCCUCUGCCAAGGGGUACCCAGGACUGAAGAGAAACCCCAGCUCUGGUGUGGAGCUGUGCUGUCAUGGCAGUGCCAAGGCAGCCAGUGGAAGUUGGCUGACAAGGCAAACUGAGGCAAUCCACGCAGAAUUCAAUGGCCACCCAGGCUGGAGUGCAGUGGCAUGAUCAUGGCUCACUGAGCCUCCAACUCUCAGGCUUAAGCAAUUCUCCCACCUCAGCCUCCCAAGCAGUGGGGACCACAGGCAAGUGGCACCACGACUAAUUUUUUUUUAUUUUUUGUAGAGACGGGAUCUUGCUGAAUUGCCCAGGCUGGUUUCAAACUUCUGGGCUCACCAAAGGCCUCUUUUCUAAGAAAGAGCCCUCUCCCUCCUCUCCCUCUUGCUGUCUCCAGGAGAGACAUCCUGCAAGGUUGUAUUCUUUUUUUUUUUUUGGGACAGAGUUUUACUCUGUUGCCCAGGCUGGAGAGCAGUGGUCCAAUCUCAACUCACGGCAACCUCCACCUCCCGGGUUCAAGUGAUUCUCCUGCCUCAGCCUCCUGAGUAGCUGGGACUACAGGCACAUGCCACUAUGCCCAACUAGUUUUUUUUUCUAUUUUUAGUAGAGACGGGGUUUCACCGUGUUAGCCAGGAUGGUCUUAAUCUCCCGACCUUAUGAUCUGCCCACCUCGGCUUCCCAAAGUGCUGGGAUUCCAGGCGUGAGCCACCGCGCCCGGCCCACAGUUUUAUUCUUUACAGGAGGUCAGUGCCCAUCAUGUUCCCUGUCUACAGACAAAUAAAAAGCUGCUCUCUCCAGAGGGGCGGCAGCAGUCCUGAUGGUCCAGUGAGACCCAGAAGCUUCCAGGAGACCUUCAGUCCCGAGUCCCUUUCAGUCAUCAUCUUCUGAGUCUGACUCUUCUGUGGACUCAGAUGCGCUCUCUGGCAAGUCGUCUCCCAUCUGCUGGAACCUUCCCGACUGUGAAUCCCACAUGUAUUUGAUGGUCACCUUGAAUUCAGCCAUCUCAUACCCAAAAAGCUUCUGCAAGAGACAAAGGGAACAAAGAAUCAGGAGGAAUGAAGGUAUUCAAAGUGCAGGGGGGCAUUUUCAGCAGGCAGAGGAAAGCCAGCAACCCCGCCCGCAACAGCCCGCAAGGCGCCAGACUCACCAGGACGCGAGCCUGCUCUGGGGUCAGCACAUCGCCCUCCUUGCACACCUCGUAGUCAGACAGCAGAGUCACCACACCUGCAGAAGAGGGUGGCUCUCAGUUACCUCUGGCCCAGAGGCCUGCAGAGCCCUCUCUGCCCUGGUCAUGUUGGGAGGAAUCCAGUCAGCCACCUGCCCUCCCCACGGCUCCAACACACACUGGGCAGUGGCUGUCUCCCUGAGGUCCCUUUGAUUUGCCGCAGCCUCGACCUCCUGGGCUCUAGUGAUCCUCUUGCCUCAGCCUCCCAUGUAGCUAGGACCACAGGCACACACCACCAUGGCUGUCUAAUUUUUUGACUUUUUUUUUUUUUAAACAAGCGCAAGGCCCCUGAUGGGCCUCAAGGGCUGCAUUUUGGCUGUAAGUUACUGUCUGCUUUCACCCCCACUGUGAGGCAUGCACUCUUAGCCCCAUUUUCUCAUGAGAAAAUGGAAGCUUGUAGAAAUAACUUGCUCAGCUAGAAAGGGAUGAGCUUGCAGGCCCGUGCUCUUGGACUCUAGGCUGUGACCUUUUGGCUCCAGGGCUGCCCAUACCUCUCUUGAGGGCGGUGGGCAGGCCCAGCUGCCUGAGCUGUGGCUCCAUGGAGUGGGGGAACUGCUCCAGGGGCCCUGGAUCCAGGCUCACAGUGAAAGCUGCUUUGUUACCAGCUCGGGCGUAGUCCAUUUCUGUGUAUUUCGUGAACCACCUAAGGGAAAAGAGAAGUGGUAGGAGGAGAUGCUCCUGGCCACGCCACCAGCCCAUGAGUCAGGCUCCCCCAAGUGUCCCGUGGCCCUGGGCCUUCCCCCAUCACAGACCUUGGCUGCUGGCCAGCAGCCAGCCCAGAGCACCAUGCUGGAGAGGACAGAGAGGGCUGUGGUCCCAGGCCACUAGCUCAGUGACAGGCUUCCAGGAGCAGUUCCAACUUGAUGCCACAUAUGGAACGAAGUUCCUGCAUCAUUCCCUCCCUGAAAUCCCCUCUCACCCGCCUCUUUCCCUCCGUUCCUCAGCAGUACUUACUCAUUCACCUCCUCCUUUGUGCGGUUGGUGAACAGGAGACCCACCUCACCCCUCAACCUUUUGCUGACCUACAAAUCAGGAGUGAGGACAGCUUGGUCACAUUAGAGCAGUGGUUCUCUACUAGGCACGUUUUUGCUCACCGGGUACAUUUGGCAACAUUUAAAGACGUUUUUGGUUGUCAUAGCAGGAAGGAGUGGGAGGCAGGAAGCUGCUAUUCCUUGGGUCCGGAGGUGAAGGGAGAACCCAGAGCUUUAAGCCAGGCCCUGCUCUCCCUGAGCCUCCGGCCUGCCAAUGGCUGGGGGAGGCUGUCACAUGGGAGUAGUGGGAGAGAGGGCGGCUUUGCCUUAGCUCCACCCCGUGAGGGCCAGAGACUUACCUGGUGCAGGUUGUCUUUGUAUUCAUCAGAUGGGCUCCGACCCAAGGCCACCAUCAUCACCUUGUUUUUGCCAAAGAACAUCCUACCAAGCAAGAGAAAGAGCAUUCUGUGAAGGAAGAGCCCUGCCCUCCCCAUCCCUCAGCAACAUGCAAAGUAGCUCCGGUCCCCAGUGAGCUCAGGCCCAGGCUGAGCCAGUGGCACCCACUUCUCCAUGCUGCCUGGCCACACUGUCCCCACGUUGGGGUCCCUUUCAUUAUGUUCCCACCCACAGACUCCUGACAUGGCAACAUUUUGUCUCCCAGCCCAUCACGAGCAUCAUGUACCAGUUCUCUAUCUGGAUGUAUGCGGGAGGCAUGUUAACAGCCUGAACCAGAGCUGGUGCGGCAAGAGACCACCACCAGAGCCACCUGCCCCAGGACAGAAACUUGCCAUGUGGCUCCUGCAUCCUGCUCCCAGGUCACUGUCUGUGUCGCAGUGUCCCUACUGACAUUCUAAAACUGGUGUGAUGCUCCUAAAUGGCCCACAGUCCAGGGUUAAAGGGCCACUUCUCCGGAAAGGCCCACCUCUCAAACAUCUCCUGAGCAACUGCCAAGUCCUGCCCCUAGGAGCUCAGUGCAAAAUCUGCUUUUUGAGGUGGAGUUUCACUCUGUCACCCAGGCUGGAGUGCGAUGGUGCAAUCUCAGCUCAUUGCAGCCUCUGCCUCAUGGGUUCAAGUGAUUCUUCUGCUUCAGCCUCCUGAGUAGCUGGGAUUAUAGGUGCCUGCCACCAUGCCCGGCUAAUUUUUGUAUUUUCAGUAGAGAAGGGGUUUCGCCAUGUUGGCCAGGCUGGUCUCAAACUCCUGACUUCAGGUGAUCCCCCUGCCUCAGCCUCCCAAAGUGCCAGGAUUACAGGCGUGAACCACCGCACCCUGCCCAAGACCAGCUUUAACAGUGAAAAGGAAGUGCUCUUCAGUGGCAGGUAGCACUUUGUCCUUAUUAAGGUGUCAGCGGCAUGACCCAGGCACCUAAAGGGUCAGAAAUUGCUCCUGUGCUUUGACUGAGAGCAGCCUGGCCGGGUCCCCACUCAGAAGGGCCUUCCUCCCCCUGCCCGCUCACCGGCUGUGCUUCCAGGCGUUCCGGAUGUCCUUCAGCUUGCUGUUCCUCAUGUUGGCCACAGAGAAGAUGAAAAGGUACUUGUAGGUGUCCACACAUUUCCGAAGCUGUGGGACAAUUCACGAGGCUCUGAGUUCAAGCAGCAGCAUACAACGGGCACUACUCUGGCCUCAGAUGAGAAUGAAUCUGCUCUGGGCCCCUGACAACUAUGGAAACUGGAAGAACUGGAGGCCUCUAAUUUGGUUGUCUCCUACCUCCAUUACUGAAAUUAGGAUCCCUAACCACAGGGGAGGCUGAGCCAUGGAUCUACACCCCACGGCCUUUUCCAGGUCUCUCACUUAUUUAUGACCAACAGUGGAACUGAUCAUCAGCUGUUAACCUAGAAACAUUCACCCACAUUAGGAAGGGUCCUGCUACAUGGAAACACAUGGAGCCUCUCUGUUAUAAGGGGAGGCAGCUGAUCGGUACUGCUCUGCACGUGGUGCUGGCCAAAGCCACCAUGAGGCAGCCUCUAGGAGUGGAGUCAUUGUGCAGGAGGAGACUGUUUCACCCAGCCUGCAGCCCAGGUUGGCAGGUCAGAAGCUGUACAGACAGUGGGUUGGUGCAGUCACCUACACCUGGUAAAUCUCCCAGCUCUUUUUUUUUUUUUUUAAAGACAGGGUCUCACUCUGUUGCCCAGGCUGCGUACCACCACGUCCAGCUAGUUUUUUUUUCUUUUCUUUUUGUAGAGAUGAGGUUUUGUCAUGUUGCCCAGGCUGCUCUUGAGCUCCCAGACUCAAGCUGUCUGACCCACUUGGCCUCCCAAAGUGCUGGGAUUACAGGCGUGGCCCACCAUUCCUGGCCUCCUGUUUUUUGACAUUAGGCAGGCUAACAAAUCUCUGUAAGCUUCAGUGACCCCAAAUGCAAAACAGCAACAUCAUCACCUAGUACCCACAUCACAGGGAUGUUAUGAGGAUGGAGUGGAACAACGCAUAAGAAACACAGUGCAGGACAGGGCACAGAGUACGAGCUAGUCAAAGCUGGAAAUCAUCACUAUGGAAGUUUUUGCUGGUGCUGCUGCUGGAGGAAAAAGGCCUGGAUUGGCAGCUUGGAGAUUUUUUUUUUUUCCCCACUAGUAUGUUCCCCUGGCCAACAGUCCUAUCCCUGGCCAACAGUCCUAUACCUACCUUUAUAAACCAAACAAUUGCAAGCUCUAGAAAAGAACAACCUCUUACCUCUUCUAUCAGGUUUUGUUUCAAUUCCAAGCCUUUCUUGGCAGUUUUGG